This 194-nucleotide ribosomal RNA is filed under the name Nectriaceae sp. RNAcentral's name for it is "partial large subunit ribosomal RNA". It matches the Rfam family "Eukaryotic large subunit ribosomal RNA", at positions 82 to 279 of the family's 3401-position model. The record is from RNAcentral. Lineage: Eukaryota; Fungi; Ascomycota; Sordariomycetes; Hypocreales; Nectriaceae.
AGUAACGGCGAGUGAAGCGGCAACAGCUCAAAUUUGAAAUAUGACACGAGUGACCGAUGGGUAAUUUGUAGAGGAUGCUUUUGGUGAGGUACCUUCCGAGUUCCCUGGAACGGGACGCCAUAGAGGGUGAGAGCCCCGUCUGGUUGGAUACCGAUCCUCUGUAAAGCUCCUUCGACGAGGCGAGGGAGGUGGGA